Molecule: non-coding RNA, 29 nt
Filed under: Rattus norvegicus (Norway rat)
Lineage: Eukaryota; Metazoa; Chordata; Mammalia; Rodentia; Muridae
Source: RNAcentral
UAGGGAAGGUUAUGUUGAGAAGUCUUUGA